CCACGCCGUAAACGAUGAAUACUAGGUGUCGGGGGGUACCACCCUCGGUGCCGCAGCAAACGCAUUAAGUAUUCCGCCUGGGGAGUACGGUCGCAAGAUUAAAACUCAAAGGAAUUGACGGGGACCCGCACAAGCAGCGGAGCAUGUGGUUUAAUUCGAAGCAACGCGAAGAACCUUACCUAGACUUGACAUCUCCUGAAUUACUCUUAAUCGAGGAAGUCCCUUCGGGGACAGGAAGACAGGUGGUGCAUGGUUGUCGUCAGCUCGUGUCGUGAGAUGUUGGGUUAAGUCCCGCAACGAGCGCAACCCUUAUUGUUAGUUGCUACUAUUAAGUUAAGCACUCUAACGAGACUGCCGCGGUUAACGUGGAGGAAGGUGGGGAUGACGUCAAAUCAUCAUGCCCCUUAUGUCUAGGGCUACACACGUGCUACAAUGGCUGGUACAACGAGCAGCAAACCCGUGAGGGGGAGCAAAACUUGAAAGCCAGUCCCAGUUCGGAUUGUAGGCUGAAACUCGCCUACAUGAAGUUGGAGUUGCUAGUAAUCGCGAAUCAGCAUGUCGCGGGGAAUACGUUCCCGGGUCUUGUACACACCGCCCGUCACACCAUGAGAGCCGGUAACACCCGAAGCCCGUGAGGUAACCGUAAGGAGCCAGCGGUCGAAGGUGGGAUUGGUGAUUGGGGUGAAGUCGUAACAAGGUAGCCGUAGGAGAACCUGCGGCUGGAUCACCUCCUUUCUA
RNAcentral lists this ribosomal RNA (738 nucleotides) under Clostridium botulinum C/D str. BKT2873. RNAcentral describes it as "bacterial SSU rRNA". It matches the Rfam family "Bacterial small subunit ribosomal RNA", at positions 795 to 1533 of the family's 1533-position model. Lineage: Bacteria; Bacillati; Bacillota; Clostridia; Eubacteriales; Clostridiaceae. The record is from RNAcentral.